UUAAACGAAGCCAAAGAAGAGGCUCAUCACUGUUAAUGAUGUCAUUGGGCCCCUGCCCCGCUUAAG
Molecule: transfer RNA, 66 nt
Filed under: unidentified
Description: Epeorus sp. 01 ZXM-2022a tRNA-Asn
Source: RNAcentral